Non-coding RNA from Amborella trichopoda, 163 nucleotides. The record is from RefSeq and is a predicted model, not a curated record. NCBI's taxonomy places the organism in Eukaryota, Viridiplantae, Streptophyta, Magnoliopsida, Amborellales, Amborellaceae.
GACGGUCUCUGUCUCGAAGGUAAGGGAUGUCUCUCUUCUGUGAGAAGGUAAGGGAAGAAGGGUGCAGAUGGAAAAUGAGAAGGUAAGGGAAGAAGGGUGCAGAUGGGAAGCUGGGAACUAGGGCAAGGGAAACGCGAAGAGCGCCACAACGAAAGAAAGUAAA